AAACUACAAAGGAAUUGACGGGACCCGCACAAGCGGUGGAUGAUGUGGUUUAAUUCGAUGCAACGCGAAAACCUUACCCACCUUUGACAUGGCAGGAAUCCCGAAGAGAUUUGGGAGUGCUCGAAAGAGAACCUGCACACAGGUGCUGCAUGGCUGUCGUCAGCUCGUGUCGUGAGAUGUUGGGUUAAGUCCCGCAACGAGCGCAACCCUUGCCAUUAGUUGCUACGAAAGGGCACUCUAAUGGGACUGCCGGUGACAAACCGGAGGAAGGUGGGGAUGACGUCAAGUCCUCAUGGCCCUUAUAGGUGGGGCUACACACGUCAUACAAUGGCCGGUACAGAGGGUAGCCAACCCGCGAGGGGGAGCCAAUCCCACAAAGCCGGUCGUAGUCCGGAUCGCAGUCUGCAACUCGACUGCGUGUAGUCGGAAUCGCUAGUAAUCGCGGAUCAGCAUGUCGCGGUGAAUACGUUCCCGGGUCUU
Molecule: ribosomal RNA, 480 nt
Filed under: uncultured Allobrachymonas sp.
Lineage: Bacteria; Pseudomonadati; Pseudomonadota; Betaproteobacteria; Burkholderiales; Comamonadaceae
Description: bacterial SSU rRNA
Rfam family: Bacterial small subunit ribosomal RNA
Source: RNAcentral